UCCGCAUUAGCUCAGCUGGUUAGAGCGCACGGCUGUUAACCGUGGGGUCACCAGAUCCUGGUAGGCGGGG
RNAcentral lists this transfer RNA (70 nucleotides) under Tetradesmus obliquus. RNAcentral's name for it is "tRNA-Asn". It matches the Rfam family "tRNA". Rfam says of the family: Transfer RNA (tRNA) molecules are approximately 80 nucleotides in length. Their secondary structure includes four short double-helical elements and three loops (D, anti-codon, and T loops). Further hydrogen bonds mediate the characteristic L-shaped molecular structure. tRNAs have two regions of fundamental functional importance: the anti-codon, which is responsible for specific mRNA codon recognition, and the 3' end, to which the tRNAs corresponding amino acid is attached (by aminoacyl-tRNA synthetases). tRNAs cope with the degeneracy of the genetic code in two manners: having more than one tRNA (with a specific anti-codon) for a particular amino acid; and 'wobble' base-pairing, i.e. permitting non-standard base-pairing at the 3rd anti-codon position. The record is from RNAcentral. Lineage: Eukaryota; Viridiplantae; Chlorophyta; Chlorophyceae; Sphaeropleales; Scenedesmaceae.